This 488-nucleotide ribosomal RNA is filed under the name uncultured bacterium. Its description in RNAcentral is "partial 16S ribosomal RNA". It matches the Rfam family "Bacterial small subunit ribosomal RNA", at positions 28 to 507 of the family's 1533-position model. The record is from RNAcentral.
GACGAACGCUGGCGGCGUGCUUAACACAUGCAAGUCGAACGGAAAGGCCCUGCUUUUGUGGGGUGCUCGAGUGGCGAACGGGUGAGUAACACGUGAGUAACCUGCCCUUGACUUUGGGAUAACUUCAGGAAACUGGGGCUAAUACCGGAUAGGAGCUCCUGCUGCAUGGUGGGGGUUGGAAAGUUUCGGCGGUUGGGUAUGGACUCGCGGCUUAUCAGCUUGUUGGUGGGGUAGUGGCUUACCAAGGCUUUGACGGGUAGCCGAACUGAGAGGGUGAUCGGCGACACUAGAACUGAAACACGGUCCAGACGACUACGGGAGGCAGCAGUAGGGAACCUUCCGCAAUGGGCGAAAGCCUGACGGAGCAACGCCGCGUGAGUGAUGAAGGUCUUCGGUUCGUAAAACUCUGUUAUUAGGGAAGAACAAAUGUGUAAGUAACUAUGCACGUCUUGACGGUACCUAGUCAGAAAGCCACGGCUAACUACGUG